UGUGCUAUGUUAGAAGACGUAUAGUAACUUACUUUCAGUAUCAGUAUGUAAUUAUUUUCUAAUCAAUAUUGAGCUAGUGACACAAGUAGCGACUGCAUCAUUUCAGAAUUUAAGCUGUGAGUCACUGUAGGUGUUGUAGUAAUCAGAAUCAGUAAUAUAAUAAUAUUAUUGUUCAUAAAAUAGGACUUUUCAACGCUUCUCAUUUGUUUGAAUAUUAAUUUAUUUACUAAAAAUUCAAAUUCCAUUAUGUUAUGUCUAACAGCUGAUUGUCAUUUGUCGAGUUUGAGCAAACUGACCUUGAAUUAUGCCUUGAAUCAGAGUGGUGGGAUCACGAUCAGUAGAAUGGUAGAAUGCUGACGUCACAAAAAUAAUUCUACAAUCGACAAUUUUGGUAUCACGUUAACACGCUUGGGAAAGUAGAAUCGGUGCUCGGCAAUGUUCGGAUAUUCUACUAGCCGUGUUAAAAAUAUCGCUUCUUCUUCUUAAAAAUAUUGCUGUUUGACGUGUGGUUGUCUUUAUUUUGUGGUGGUUGUAUUCCAAAAAGCUAACCUAAAGAUUAUUAUUUGCAAUUUGUUUAUUUUUGUCUUAUGUUGUUUGGAACUAUUUUAUUAGAAAUCACUAAAUUUUUGGAUUUUACCUGUGACUAGGGAACAUUGUUAUAUAAAGUCUUGGUAUGAAACGAUGUUAAGACAAUACUGUGUGCUUUUUCAGUCCUAUGAAAGAAAAUAUUUUGGAUGUAACAGAGAAGUACUACAACUUUGUUAUGAAGAUUUGUCUUUAUGUUAUUUUUAUAAUGUUCAUGGAUUAUAUUUGUUUUUAUGUUUUCUUCAGUUUAAAUAAAGUUUAUGUUUUACCCA
Long non-coding RNA from Diabrotica virgifera virgifera (western corn rootworm), 857 nucleotides. RefSeq lists it as uncharacterized. The record is from RefSeq and is a predicted model, not a curated record. The transcript is spliced from 2 exons. Lineage: Eukaryota; Metazoa; Arthropoda; Insecta; Coleoptera; Chrysomelidae.